GCUGGGAUUACAGGCAUGUGCCACCACACCUGUCCAAUAUUGUUAUGCAAUAUUUUAAAAAUUCAGAUGAAGGCCAAAAUCCACAAAAAACAAAAUAUCAAAGAGAGGAUCCAACCCUGUAUACAAAUUUGCUUCUGCCACUUCUCCCUGGUCCUUUCUAGAUGGGGGCAGAGGGGAUAGCAGCUUCUCCCUCAUGUCUGUUCCAGCUUCAGGAAGUUGUGACUAGGUGGGUCUCAGCCUUCUACAGGGACCAGGUCUCUUCCUCCUGUCCCAGGACCUACCAGAGCCCCUUACCCACUCCAGGUCUGAGUCCUCAGCUCAGAGCCCUUUAUGUGCUUGGGACAGUGGGGCACAAUGGAGGGAGGGAGGGGUAUAUCCAGGCCUGUUUUCCUGGCACCCUUCACCUACCUGGCUCUUCCCCAGCUGGUGGCUGGCAUCAAGUACUACCUGACAGUGGAGAUGGAGAGCACAGCAUGCCGGAAGACCAGGGUCUCUGGAGACCAUGUGGACCUCACCACCUGCCCCCUGGCCACAGGGGUGCAGCAGGAGAAGCUGCACUGUGACUUUGAGAUCCUCGAAGUCCCUUGGAAGAACUCAGCUUUUCAAACAAGACUGUGUGCAGCUGUAGUAGGUUUGCAGGUGGGAGUGGUGGGCCCCCAAACAUUGCCAGAAACUCCCAAUAGUCUUAGAAAAGGGGUGGGGACAAAGAGAAGAGAGAUAACGUCCCAAGACUAGCCCCAAGAACAGUGUCUACUCAGAAGGGGAGUGCAUGCCCUGCUCCUCUCAGCACCUGGGAGAAGUUCAGGCAUGCAUGUGGGAGGUUCAGCCCACUGGGUCUUGGACACUGAGUUUUCUGUCCACUAACGUUCCUGUGCCUGUGUGUGGUCCAAAGUGGGUUGCCUGUCCUGCACAGCCACUGCUGUGCAGGCGAUGUCCUGGUCCCAUGGCCUCUUGGUCUACAACAUUUCUAGUACAAUUGAAUUUGUGGCUGUAGUACAUACGCAGACACAUACACUCACACCUACAACCCUCAACUCUACAGAUAUUCACACCCAUAAACCCACAGGACACACUCAGAUGUUCCCAGACACCAUAGACAUGCCCUGAAAAAACACUAGCGCCCACCUAGCAACCAACUAUCCAGCAACACAACCUAGCAACUCAGAAGCAAAGCAAACACAGAAGCAGCAUCCCAAGAUAGCCUAGAGAUGGGCCUGCAGACUCCCAACACUAGCCAGAGUCCCACAUCUCCACCUGGGGGUGUUCCUUGGAUGCACCAACUUGUACCCACACCCAGGACAGGAGGAAGUAACCUGGUACCUUGAGGCACUGGGUGUUUGCAGUGUGAGGCCCAGAUUGGCAGCACUGCGGGGGAGUGGGGAGCAGCCCAGAUGAUGGGUGACCCUCAAACAGUAUUGAACAAAUAAAGCAAAAUAUACAA
Ictidomys tridecemlineatus (thirteen-lined ground squirrel) is the source of this 1441-nucleotide non-coding RNA. The record is from RefSeq and is a predicted model, not a curated record. NCBI's taxonomy places the organism in Eukaryota, Metazoa, Chordata, Mammalia, Rodentia, Sciuridae.